This 466-nucleotide unclassified non-coding RNA is filed under the name uncultured Glomus. RNAcentral's name for it is "SSU rRNA". It matches the Rfam family "Eukaryotic small subunit ribosomal RNA", at positions 569 to 1039 of the family's 1831-position model. Lineage: Eukaryota; Fungi; Glomeromycota; Glomeromycetes; Glomerales; Glomeraceae. The record is from RNAcentral.
AGCAGCCGCGGUAAUUCCAGCUCCAAUAGCGUAUAUUAAAGUUGUUGCAGUUAAAAAGCUCGUAGUUGAAUUUCGGGGUUAGUAGGUUGGUCAUGCCUCUGGUAUGUACUGGUCUCACUGAUUCCUCCUUCCUGAUGAGCCGUAAUGCCAUUAAUUUGGUGUUGCGGGGAAUUUGGACUGUUACUUUGAAAAAAUUAGAGUGUUUAAAGCAAGCUAACGCUUGAAUACAUUAGCAUGGAAUAAUGAAAUAGGACGUUCGAUCCUAUUUUGUUGGUUUCUAGGAUUGACGUAAUGAUUAAUAGGGAUAGUUGGGGGCAUUAGUAUUCAAUUGUCAGAGGUGAAAUUCUUGGAUUUAUUGAAGACUAACUACUGCGAAAGCAUUUGCCAAGGAUGUUUUCAUUAAUCAAGAACGAAAGUUAGGGGAUCGAAGACGAUCAGAUACCGUCGUAGUCUUAACCAUAAACUA